AGCUCCAAUAGCGUAUCUUAAAGUUGCUGCAGUUAAAAAGCUCGUAGUUGGAUCUCGGCGGGCGCCUCGCGGUCCUGUGUUUGCAGCGACUGCUUCGGCGCCCGCGAUCUCCGGCAGAUCCUCGGCGGUGCUCUUAACCGGGUGUCGCCGAGUCCUGCCAGGUUUACUUUGAAAAAAUUAGAGUGCUCAGAGCAGGCCUCACACGCCUGAAUAGUUGUGCAUGGAAUAAUGGAAUAGGACGUCGUUUCUAUUUCGUGGGUUUUCGGAAAUCGACGUAAUGAUUAAUAGGGACAGUCGGGGGCAUUAGUAUUCAGGCGACAGAGGUGAAAUUCUUGGACCGCCUGAAGACUAACCACUGCGAAAGCAUUUGCCAAGAAUGUUUUCA
Molecule: ribosomal RNA, 385 nt
Filed under: uncultured eukaryote
Lineage: Eukaryota
Description: SSU rRNA
Rfam family: Eukaryotic small subunit ribosomal RNA
Source: RNAcentral